Molecule: non-coding RNA, 3222 nt
Organism: Nicotiana tabacum (common tobacco)
Lineage: Eukaryota; Viridiplantae; Streptophyta; Magnoliopsida; Solanales; Solanaceae
Source: RefSeq, a predicted model, not a curated record
UAUCUGAAUAAGUGUCCAGAAAUAGAGUCCUUUCCUGAAGGAGGAUUGCCCUCCAAUUUACAAGUCCUUCAGAUCAGCGGUUGCAAGAAACUGGUGAAUGGGCGAAAGGAGUGGGGUUUACAGAGACUCUCCUGUCUCACAGUGUUAAACAUCAUCCAUGAUGGUAGUGACGAAGAGAUUCCUGCUGGUGAAAAUUGGGAGUUGCCUUACUCUAUUCGAACUCUUUGGAUAAAAAAUCUGAAAACAUUAAGCAGCCAAGUUCUCAAAAGCCUCACCUCUCUUGAAUAUCUAUCUACUUCUAAUUUACCUCAAAUUCAGUCACUGUUGGAAGAAGGGCUUCCCUCAUCUCUUUCUCAGCUUAGAUUAUAUGACCAUGAUGAGCUCCAUUCACUAUCGACCAAAGGUCUUCGACGCCUCACCUCGCUUCAACGUCUACAGAUCGACUACUGCGAUCAACUCAAAUCUAUUCCAGAAUCAGUGCUGCCCUCCUCCCUCUCUGAGCUGACCAUCUCGAGUUGCCGUAAUCUCCAACCUCUUCCAGAAUCAGUGCUGCCCUCCCUCUCUAAGCUGGAAAUCUCGGAUUGCCCUAAACUCCAAUCUCUUCCAGUAAAAGGGAUGCCCUCUUCCAUCUCUAAACUAAAUAUUUCUUUGUGCCCAUUGCUCAACCCACUCCUAGAAUUUGAGAAGGGGGAUUACUGGCCAAAUAUUGCUCAUAUUCCCACCAUACAUAUCGAUCGGGAAUACCUGUGAUGAUUAAAACGAAGGUGUUCUAACAGAUAAAUCUUGUUGAGCAGUGUGAAGAGACUAUUGCCACUAUGAAACAGAGGAAGCAUCUUCACUUAGGGAUGAACGGUGAUAUUGAGUUGAGCAAAGAGGAGGUGGUUUAGAGUAAUGCACAAGUCCACUAUUGAAUACGAAGCUCCAAUAGAAUUCAAAGAGAAUGAAGUUUUAUCACUGCUGGAAAAGGGCUUCCCUCGUCUCUUUCUGAGCUAAGAUUAUAUUUACCAUGAUGAGCUCCAUUGGCUACCGACAGAAGAUCUUAGGUGCCUUACUUCGCUUCGAUGUCCAGAAAUAACCUCCUGCUAUUGAUUCCAUUAUCGAUUUCAUACUGCAGUUGAUGUUUCACAUUAAAGAAAAGAAGCUGUUUUUUUUGACCAGAUCUUGUUGCUCUAUAUGGGAAGGAAAAGCUGGGCAGAGAGUUGUCAAGGAUCAUUCUUAUGUGAAAUGUCCCUCUCAAUUUCAUGGACACAUGUGUGGAGAUUAUAUUACCACUAUGAAACCGGGGAAUCAUCUUCAGGUCGCGUUAGAUGAGAAAAAUAGGAUUUUGAAAACAGUAUGAUCAGUCACUGUGCUCUAUUUUGGGAGUGAUUUGGCAACGAUACAAUGUCGUUUUCUCUUGGAAGGCUCUUUCAGUUUUUAGCUGAAGUUUACAAUUGAUGGUCAUAUACUGCUCAAACUGCGUCUUGAAAUUGAGUAAAUGGAGGAGUGGCCACCGAUUGCUCAAUCCCACUACUCGGUUGAUAAUGAACUCAUAUAGCGAGCAAGAUAAAUAAGUGAUUCUCGAGGAAAUGGCAUUUGUAACACGAUUUAUCAACUUGAUAGGUGAAAAAACUGAAACGAUAUAAAGCUUACAAUUUCUGAGAAGGAGAAGAUGUGAUGCCUGAAGUUUCAGCUCAAACCACGUCUAGAAUUUGACAAGGGGGAUUACUGGCCAAAAAUUGCUCAUAUUUCCAUCAUAAGAGUCGAUGAGAAAUACCUGUAAUGAUUAAAACGAAGUGUGUAGCGUCUAUUGUCACUAUGAAGCCGAGGAAGCAUUUUUAUAUCAGGAUGAAAGAUGACAAAAAAAGGAUUUUGGCAUCGGUAUGAAGAUUGUCUGAUCAGAUGUUGUUGCUUAACAUGGGAAGGAAAAGCUGGGCAGAGAGUUGUCAAGAUUCAGUCUUAAUUAUGUGAAAUGCCCGUCUCAACGUCACGGACACAUGUCAAUGCACACUUGGUGAAUUGGCCAAAUCUGGUGCAUAUCCUCGCCCACACUCAGAUCAUGUCGGAUCGCUGUAAAGUGGUGGCCAUCUCUGUACCAUCAUCUGCCUUGGGACACAAGGAGAGUUGCCCUUCUCCAUCACUUCAGUAUGCAUCUAUAUGUUUGCGCAAAGGCAAGACUGCCUCAGCAUUUGGAUUGAUGAUCGCCUCAUCUGUCCUUUGAAGAAGCAAAAGUUCGAGUACAGUUGGUUAGAUAUAUGCAAUCUCAACAUUACAAUCAGAGAUUUGGAUUGAAGAUAUAAACAUUAAGCUGAUGUUGGAGAUUAUGAAGUUCCUUUCAAAUUCUUUCCAUUACUCAACUGCGAGUGGCACCUCAGAACCAGGGGAAAGGCAAAGAAGCAUAUGCUACUCGGAAUUGCCCUAAGUUCAUGUUUCGUGUUUCAAAGUUGCUUUUCUGUUCGUUGUUCUUAAACUCCAGUCAAUUCAUGGAAUCACAAGGAGGAGCAUGAAUGGUCGGAAACAUGCAAUCUGUAUUUCACAAUCAGUUUGGUUUUUAUGAGUUGUUGAGAAGGGAAAGCUGUUGAGAUAUUUAAGUUACUCUGAGAUGGGACUUUCUAUUAGGCCUUUCUGCUCUGGUUACGUUUGGCCAAUGGAAAGCAAAAGACGACAUAAUUAUUGGACUUUCUGUAUUGAGUAAUCUGAACUUCUGGACGUGAACGGUUAGAGCAAACUGUAAAUGCAUUGGAAAAUGUACGAGAAAAGGGGGGAGAUUCUGAGGAGGGAACGUUGAAUGUCAAUGAGAAGAGAAAGUAAAGUUUCAAUGGUCUCCUCAAGUUGGCUAGUGAAAGUUGUGCAACAGGUUUGAGGGACAGUACUAACAAGCUCGGGGACUUGUUUCUGUUUCCAAAAGGACUAGUACAGUAUCAAUACAACUAUGAUUGGAUUAAAUCAGCUAUAGCUGUUUCUGCAAUUGGUAGCGCGAAUGCUGAACUGUUUCACUUCCUCUACAACAUUGUUUGCUACUAUUGUCGAUAAAUCAGAUUCUCGCGAAGUCAUUCAAGACUGAUGUUGCUACUGUUCAGAAGAUCAAGGCUGGUCUCUCAUCCUAGGAUCUCAUUUUGCUCGUCGAAUUUCUAAAUAAAACUUCACCUCGGAAUUCAGUGCAAAAAAGAUUCAUAUGUAAUGUUUUCAUUCUUUCUUAGUUGGUUGGUAAUCUUAUCAUUAUGAAAUUGGCUGUUCAUUUUC